Oncorhynchus kisutch (coho salmon) is the source of this 1603-nucleotide long non-coding RNA. RefSeq lists it as uncharacterized. The record is from RefSeq and is a predicted model, not a curated record. The transcript has 5 exons. Lineage: Eukaryota; Metazoa; Chordata; Actinopteri; Salmoniformes; Salmonidae.
AUUAUUCAAUUCAAAUUAGUUUUUUAAAAUUACAGUAGACUGAAUAGGUAUAUUAUAAAUUGUUUUAUUGGUUCUAGAACUUUAUUUUUGUGUCCAGUUAGUGCAAUUGUCUUGCUCAUUUCAGUAGCUAGCUAGCUACUGUACCAGCGCGAGCGUGAAGUUUUCUACACCAGAAUGGUAGAAUGACCAACGCUGCCGAAAAUGUUGUGGACUUUUUGUUGAAGAACCCCUUUCAUUCUCUGGCGUACACGGAAAGGGUGCGAAUUAAAAGCGAGGGGCGACCGCUGCCUGAGAUCAGUUUCAUGAAGAAAGAUGAAAAGGUGAGCUCGUUCAAUAUCACCUGGUAUCAAAAGUAUAGCUGGUUAAUAACAUGGAGCCUGUAUUGCUGGUCUUGCCUGCGUUUUUGGGCAUGCAAUAAUUUGCUUUUAGAGGACACGACGAGAUGGAAAGUUCUGCCGACAAGGAGUUUUGCCGAGAGGUGAUGACUACUCCACUCUACUACCUUUGUAGUAAAUUUCUCAAAUUUCUCCUGACAUGAACUGAAGCCACGUCUCAUGUGCCCGCACAUCCACAAUGUGCCAUUGAAUGUUUCCCCUCCAAGUACUUCAAAUCCUGUCCUGCGCUGGUCAAGCCUUUGAACACCUCAACUCAGGCCCUCAUUCAAUCAUUGCUGUGAUCCCUUUCCAACACUGUAUUGCCCCUCCUGCCAGACAUAGACCAAGGUGUCGUAGCUGAUGUGUUUGGAUGAGGGGUGUGAGGUUGCUGGCCAAGUCCAUCCAUACCCGGUAGUACUGUGAAAGGUCUGUCUAAAAUGGGCAAAGGUCAUACAACUAGAUAUGACAGUACGCUGAUUUAUCUGUGCACUAUACACCAAAUAAGAAGGUUUUGUGCUCUAGAAGUUAAAAAGUUCAAGCAAAAUAUAUGUUUUUGGCUCUACAAUCGGAAUGUACUGUAAGUUAAUAAGGUGUGAUGGAAUAAAAAUAUCUAAAUUUGAGAGUAGAACUUGAUCUAGUGUUGACAUUGAGCACACUCUUUCCCAUGUAAGUCAGUAGAGACCAGAACAUACCAACUGUCAUGUGCUCACAGCUCAGUGUGUGCUGGAGGGAGAAAGAUUGAUAGGUGUCCAUAUAACAUUAAUCAAAGCAAACCUAUUUAUCAGUUUAAAACCCUGGUAGCACAUGGUAUUUGUGGAUCAAGAGUCACUGGAGGAAAUACCAUGGGUCACUGAGACUGAAAAUAAUUCCAACCUUCUCAUAUUAUUGGUGCGGAAUCUACAGACUGACGUUACAUGUGGAAGGAAGUAGGUCCUCUAUGUUGCUUUUCAUAUCUCAAAACCAAAACCAGGCAGUUAUUUGAAAGAUGACUUAGCUGAUCUAAUUUGUAGAGAGCAGAGAAAUCAAGCUUGCUUCAUCAGCAAAACAAAACAGCCCUUAAAGGAAAAGGUACCGAUAUGGUAAUAAAUAAAAUGCCAACAGUUGAAAACCUGAAGUCUCACCAUUUCUGUUAACAGUAAUUGCAGUCAUUUUGAGACAUUUUCUGACAACAUGCUGAACUCAAAUGACAUGUAUAAAGUUAGAAAAAGAUGCCUUACUGCUGGCUGCUU